Molecule: ribosomal RNA, 254 nt
Filed under: uncultured prokaryote
Description: partial 16S ribosomal RNA
Rfam family: Bacterial small subunit ribosomal RNA
Source: RNAcentral
ACGUAGGGAGCAAGCGUUGUUCGGAUUUACUGGGCGUAAAGGGCGCGUAGGCGGCGCGGUAAGUCACUUGUGAAAUCUCUGAGCUUAACUCAGAACGGCCAAGUGAUACUGCAGUGCUAGAGUGCAGAAAGGGCAAUCGGAAUUCUUGGUGUAGCGGUGAAAUGCGUAGAUAUCAAGAGGAACACCUGAGGCGAAGGCGGGUUGCUAGGCUGACACUGACGCUGAGUGCGCGAAAGCCAGGGGAGCAAACGGGA